RNAcentral lists this ribosomal RNA (497 nucleotides) under uncultured bacterium. RNAcentral describes it as "partial 16S ribosomal RNA". It matches the Rfam family "Bacterial small subunit ribosomal RNA", at positions 28 to 507 of the family's 1533-position model. The record is from RNAcentral.
GAUGAACGCUGGCGGCGUGCCUAAUACAUGCAAGUCGAGCGAACAGACGAGGAGCUUGCUCCUCUGACGUUAGCGGCGGACGGGUGAGUAACACGUGGAUAACCUACCUAUAAGACUGGGAUAACUUCGGGAAACCGGAGCUAAUACCGGAUAAUAUAUUGAACCGCAUGGUUCAAUAGUGAAAGACGGUUUUGCUGUCACUUAUAGAUGGAUCCGCGCCGCAUUAGCUAGUUGGUAAGGUAACGGCUUACCAAGGCAACGAUGCGUAGCCGACCUGAGAGGGUGAUCGGCCACACUGGAACUGAGACACGGUCCAGACUCCUACGGGAGGCAGCAGUAGGGAAUCUUCCGCAAUGGGCGAAACCUUGACGGAGCAACGCCGCGUGAGUGAUGAAGGUCUUCGGAUCGUAAAACUCUGUUAUUAGGGAAGAACAAAUGUGUAAGUAACUAUGCACGUCUUGACGGUACCUAAUCAGAAAGCCACGGCUAACUACGUG